GGUAAUACGGAGGGUGCGAGCGUUAAUCGGAAUAACUGGGCGUAAAGGGCACGCAGGCGGUUAUUUAAGUGAGGUGUGAAAGCCCCGGGCUUAACCUGGGAAUUGCAUUUCAUACUGGGUCGCUAGAGUACUUUAGGGAGGGGUAGAAUUCCACGUGUAGCGGUGAAAUGCGUAGAGAUGUGGAGGAAUACCGAAGGCGAAGGCAGCCCCUUGGGAAUGUACUGACGCUCAUGUGCGAAAGCGUGGGGAGCAAACAGGAUUAGAUACCCUGGUAGUCCACGCUGUAAACGAUGUCGAUUUGGGGAUUGGGCUUUGAGCUUGGUGCCCGUAGCUAACGUGAUAAAUCGACCGCCUGGGGAGUACGGCCGCAAGGUUAAAACUCAAAUGAAUUGACGGGGGCCCGCACAAGCGGUGGAGCAUGUGGUUUAAUUCGAUGCAACGCGAAGAACCUUACC
RNAcentral lists this ribosomal RNA (455 nucleotides) under uncultured bacterium. RNAcentral describes it as "bacterial SSU rRNA". It matches the Rfam family "Bacterial small subunit ribosomal RNA", at positions 519 to 975 of the family's 1533-position model. The record is from RNAcentral.